Molecule: transfer RNA, 73 nt
Filed under: Candidatus Campbelliibacteriota bacterium
Lineage: Bacteria; Candidatus Campbelliibacteriota
Description: Candidatus Campbellbacteria bacterium tRNA-Thr
Rfam family: tRNA
About the family: Transfer RNA (tRNA) molecules are approximately 80 nucleotides in length. Their secondary structure includes four short double-helical elements and three loops (D, anti-codon, and T loops). Further hydrogen bonds mediate the characteristic L-shaped molecular structure. tRNAs have two regions of fundamental functional importance: the anti-codon, which is responsible for specific mRNA codon recognition, and the 3' end, to which the tRNAs corresponding amino acid is attached (by aminoacyl-tRNA synthetases). tRNAs cope with the degeneracy of the genetic code in two manners: having more than one tRNA (with a specific anti-codon) for a particular amino acid; and 'wobble' base-pairing, i.e. permitting non-standard base-pairing at the 3rd anti-codon position.
Source: RNAcentral
GCCAUCUUAGCUCAGUUGGUAGAGCACUCCCAUGGUAAGGGAGAGGUCAUCGGUUCAAUCCCGAUAGAUGGCU